Melitaea cinxia (Glanville fritillary) is the source of this 120-nucleotide long non-coding RNA. RefSeq lists it as uncharacterized. Lineage: Eukaryota; Metazoa; Arthropoda; Insecta; Lepidoptera; Nymphalidae. The transcript has 3 exons. The record is from RefSeq and is a predicted model, not a curated record.
UUACGCGUGCUUGACUUGAGGACUAAGCUGGUGAGUGCGUGAAGAAAGCGUUACGAAAAGUGUGAUCGGGUGAGGCGAACGGAGCAAGAGAGAGAAUAUAAUUUAAUAAAUAUUGAAACU